This 497-nucleotide ribosomal RNA is filed under the name uncultured bacterium. Its description in RNAcentral is "partial 16S ribosomal RNA". It matches the Rfam family "Bacterial small subunit ribosomal RNA", at positions 28 to 507 of the family's 1533-position model. The record is from RNAcentral.
GAUGAACGCUGGCGGCGUGCCUAAUACAUGCAAGUCGAGCGAACGGACGAGAAGCUUGCUUCUCUGAUGUUAGCGGCGGACGGGUGAGUAACACGUGGAUAACCUACCUAUAAGACUGGGAUAACUUCGGGAAACCGGAGCUAAUACCGGAUGAUAUUUUGAACCGCAUGGUUCAAAAGUGAAAGACGGUCUUGCUGUCACUUAUAGAUGGAUCCGCGCUGCAUUAGCUAGUUGGUAAGGUAACGGCUUACCAAGGCAACGAUGCAUAGCCGACCUGAGAGGGUGAUCGGCCACACUGGAACUGAGACACGGUCCAGACUCCUACGGGAGGCAGCAGUAGGGAAUCUUCCGCAAUGGGCGAAAGCCUGACGGAGCAACGCCGCGUGAGUGAUGAAGGUCUUCGGAUCGUAAAACUCUGUUAGUAGGGAAGAACAUAUGUGUAAGUAACUGUGCACAUCUUGACGGUACCUAAUCAGAAAGCCACGGCUAACUACGUG